AAUAACAUAGUAAGCCAAUUUAUGAUAUUAUUGAACUGUAUUAUUGUGGUAAAUUGAAGUACUAUAGUUAUGUCAUUGGUAAUAAGCUAAGGUGUGUGUGAUGGAUGGAUCGAGGUGGUAAAUUCAAGUACUAUAGUUAUGUCAUUGGUAAUAAGCUAAGGUGUGUGUGAUGAUGGAUCUAGUUAUAUCAUAUAUUGUUAAUUGUUUUAUGUAUGGUUCAUCUUAGAUCCUCCAAGUGAAAACCUCGAUCCCAAUAAUAUGAGAUCUUGCUCUGAGGUAUCCUAGGAUCUAGCUCCUUAAUUUAUAAAAUGUACGAACAUAGAUCAAAACCCAAGGAGCUACCCUAUGCAGUUCAACAUUCCCCAAAUGGAUCCUACUCCUAGACCCGCCCGGCCUCCGACAACUAUGAUCCACAUAUGUAGUUGUAGCACUGUUACAUAUUGCCUUUUCAUGAACAAACAAAGUGCUAACGUAAAUAUCCAACAAACAACCUUCAUUUAUUUACAUUUUCUUUGUGUAUAAUCAUCUUCCCAAGAUAUCCCUUGCAUCAUUUCACUCCUCAGCUCCUCAUUUUAAAUGACUUUCAAUGAGAUGUUUCUUGCAUUCCUUCUAAAGGUUCUUUAGGCUUUAGCAAUUAAACAUCAUAGUGUUGCUUAUUUUGUGGAUUUUGUACAUUUUUUG
Molecule: long non-coding RNA, 681 nt
Filed under: Amborella trichopoda
Lineage: Eukaryota; Viridiplantae; Streptophyta; Magnoliopsida; Amborellales; Amborellaceae
Description: long non-coding RNA (ATRI_LNC004876)
Source: RNAcentral